Molecule: ribosomal RNA, 443 nt
Filed under: uncultured bacterium
Lineage: Bacteria
Description: bacterial SSU rRNA
Rfam family: Bacterial small subunit ribosomal RNA
Source: RNAcentral
CCAGACUCCUACGGGAGGCAGCAGUGGGGAAUAUUGCACAAUGGGGGAAACCCUGAUGCAGCGACGCCGCGUGAGUGAAGAAGUAUUUCGGUAUGUAAAGCUCUAUCAGCAGGGAGGAAAAUGACGGUACCUGAUUAAGAAGCCCCGGCUAACUACGUGCCAGCAGCCGCGGUAAUACGUAGGGGGCAAGCGUUAUCCGGAUUUACUGGGUGUAAAGGGAGCGUAGACGGCAGCGCAAGUCUGAAGUGAAAUGCCGGGGCUUAACCCCGUCGAGCCGUUGAAACUGGCAGACUUGAGUUGGCGAGAAGUACGCGGAAUGCGCGGUGUAGCGGUGAAAUGCAUAGAUAUCGCGCAGAACUCCGAUUGCGAAGGCAGCGUACCGGUGCCAGACUGACGCUGAGGCACGAAAGCGUGGGGAUCGAGCAGGAUUAGAUACCCCAGUA